This is a non-coding RNA of Triticum aestivum (bread wheat), 132 nucleotides long. Lineage: Eukaryota; Viridiplantae; Streptophyta; Magnoliopsida; Poales; Poaceae. The record is from Rfam.
GAUAUACUCCCUCCGUCCAGAAAUACUUGUCGGAGAAAUGAAUAAAAAUGGAUGUAUCAUGUAUGUAGAACUAAAAUAUGUCUACAUACAUAUAUUUCUCCGAUAAAUAUUUCCGGACGGAGGAAGUAUAUU